RNAcentral lists this ribosomal RNA (503 nucleotides) under uncultured bacterium. RNAcentral's name for it is "partial 16S ribosomal RNA". It matches the Rfam family "Bacterial small subunit ribosomal RNA", at positions 899 to 1397 of the family's 1533-position model. The record is from RNAcentral.
ACUCAAAUGAAUAGACGGGGGUCCGCACAAGCGGUGGAACAUGUGGUUUAAUUCGUCACUACGCGAGGAACCUUACCUGGGCUUGACAUGCUUUUGACCGCUGUAGAAAUACAGUCUUCUAGGCUUCGGUUUAGACAAUUGCACAGGUGCUGCAUGGCUGUCGUCAGCUCGUGUCGUGAGACGUUAGGUUAAGUCCUCUAACGAGCGCAACCCCUAUUGCCAGUUGCUACUACUUCGGUAGGCACUCUGGUGAGACUGCCUGUGAAAGCAGGAGGAAGGUGGGGAUGACGUCAAGUCAUCAUGGUCCUUAUGUCCAGGGCUACACACGUGUUACAAUGGCUGAUACAAAAAGUUGCAAUACCGUAAGGUGGAGCUAAUCUUUAAAGUCAGUCUAAGUUCGGAUUGAGGUCUGCAAUUCGACCUCAUGAAGUUGAAAUCGCUAGUAAUCGCGUAUCAGAUACGACGCGGUGAAUACGUUCUCGGACCUUGUACACACCGCCCGU